RNAcentral lists this transfer RNA (63 nucleotides) under Bahadzia jaraguensis. RNAcentral describes it as "transfer RNA Alanine". Lineage: Eukaryota; Metazoa; Arthropoda; Malacostraca; Amphipoda; Hadziidae. The record is from RNAcentral.
AGGGUAAUAUUUUAAUCAAAAAAAUUCAUAUCUUGCACUUAUGAGAUGCAAUAGCUUUCCCUA